UUACAAGAAGACGGCGCCCUCGCCGGCGUCGACCUUCAAACCACUGUGUACCAAACCUCGGCUGCUUCCGCGGGCGCGACUCGCUCGCGUCCGCGGAGGGACUCUGGCCGAGAAUUCAGUUGUGUUCGUGCCCGUGUGGGCGCCCCCGUACGCAUUCUAAGGGGGCCGCCGGGGGGGGGGCGUCCGGCCGCGCUACAGCUCAUCGCGAGCUCGCGGCCGGGCCGCCAGCCCUCCCCUGGGUUAACGCCGGGAUAAGCGCCCAACGCGGUACGAGCGCCCGACUCCAUAGCACUGUCGAGAUGGCAUCGUCUGAACAACCCAAAACACAGAAGUACAACUUUUAACAAUGGAUCUCUUGGCUCCGGCAUCGAUGAAGAACGCAGCGAAAUGCGAUAGCUAGUGUGAAUUGCAGAUUUCAGUGAAUCAUCGAGUCUUUGAACGCACAUUGCGCCUCUUGGUAUUCCUCGAGGCAUGCCUGUUCGAGCGUCGUUACGCCCCUCAAGCGCAAGCUUGGUGUUGGGGAUCGCCCCUGAGAUACGGCGGCGGCCCUUAAAUGCAUCGGCGGUGCUGGUCCCAGCCCGGAGCGCAGCAGACAUGCGGCUUCCUGGCGGCCCAGCGCCCGCCGGCCAACCA
RNAcentral lists this unclassified non-coding RNA (633 nucleotides) under leaf metagenome. RNAcentral's name for it is "partial contains internal transcribed spacer 1, 5.8S ribosomal RNA, and internal transcribed spacer 2". The stretch from base 336 to 489 matches the Rfam family "5.8S ribosomal RNA". The record is from RNAcentral.